RNAcentral lists this ribosomal RNA (675 nucleotides) under Triticum aestivum (bread wheat). RNAcentral's name for it is "partial small subunit ribosomal RNA". Lineage: Eukaryota; Viridiplantae; Streptophyta; Magnoliopsida; Poales; Poaceae. The record is from RNAcentral.
AUGGCACGAAAAGGAAAUCCAAUUUCGGUAAGACUUGAUCUGAAUCGUAGUUCAGAUCCAAGUCGGUUCAAUGUCAAUCUUAGAUCUUAUUUUAGUUCGAUACGUCCACCUACGAAACUCGCCCUUGGCUUUCGUCUCGGUAGGUGUAUUAUUCUACAUUUUCCCAAAAGGACAUUCAUUCAUUUCUUUCUUCCCGGGCGAUCACCACGACUAAAACGAAAAAAAGACAAGAAAUCAAGACCCGUACUACAGGAAAAGGGCUGGUGGCCGACAUUUGGGAAAGUCGGGCCGAUCGGGUGUCUUCAUUCAAGCGAGGGUACAGAGGAAGAACGAAACGAAGUGAGAGGCCGGGGGGCAGGGAAAAGAGUCCAGUCGAUCGACCGGGAGAAGCAAAACGAAAUCCGGAUUUGGCCGAAAAAGAUGCAACGUUAUGGAUACCAUGACCGAUCACCAUCGAGAAAGAAGAAUUUUGAUAAAUCACUUCGGGUGAGCGGGGCCUUCAAGCGGCCUCAAUACACCGGGGUUGUAAAUGACAUACCUUUCCUUUCCCGCUCUGACGGCCCGACGAGUGAUAUACUAAAAAGGACCCUCCCCGCUGUGCGCCCCUCCUUGAAUUAUUCGGUCAUGCAAUACUUUUUAAUACUCAGAAUAAAAUGCAUUUCAACCCCGUCCUAG